Molecule: ribosomal RNA, 468 nt
Filed under: uncultured bacterium
Lineage: Bacteria
Description: partial 16S ribosomal RNA
Rfam family: Bacterial small subunit ribosomal RNA
Source: RNAcentral
GAUGAACGCUGGCGGCGUGCCUAACACAUGCAAGUCGAACGGAAAGGCCCUGCUUUUGUGCGGUUCUCGAGUGGCGAACGGGUGAGUAACACGUGAGUAACCUGUCCCUGACUUUGGGAUAACUUCAGGAAACAGGGGCUAUUACCGGAUAGGAGCUCUUGCUGCAUGGUGGGGGUUGGUAAGUUUCGGCGGUUGGAGAUGGACUCGCGGCUUACCAGCUUGAUAGUGGGGUAGUUGCAUACCAAGGCUUUGAAGGCUAGCCGACCUGAGCGGGUAGACAGCCACCUUACGCCUGCGAUACGGAGCAGAAUCGAACGUGAGGCAACGGUGGAGAGUCUUACACAGCGACGCGGAGCCUGAUACGACAGCGCCCCGUGCGGAAAGACGGCCUACGGGUUGUGAACCAAUUUCGACUGAGACGAGGCGUGAGUGACGGUAACGGGUAAAGAAGCACCGGCUAACUCCGUG